GGGGCGGGGAGACCUGGCGCUCACCCAGCGAGCUCGACUGGUGCUGACGUCCGUUCAGGCCUUUAAAUGUCUCUGUCCCUGGGCAGGAGGGAACAGACUUUGUAGCAGUCACUUUGCCCAAAGGGAGACGCGUCUCUGCUUUUGCAGGCGGCAGCUCGGACUCCCCUCGCUCUUCCCAGCGCAGCGUUUACCUCCUGUCUUUGCCUCGAGUUCCCCGCAGCCUCUCCAGCGGGAGGCGCUUUUGGUAUUCGCACCCCGGGCGUGAACCAACAGGACUCCCCCUGCCCUGUGCUUUUUCAGUAGGUUCGAAGAUCAGAGAUUGCGAGGUGCGCUCGGUGAUCGCUCAAGUAGCGGGGAGCUUACACCCCCUGAUUUUGGUAGGGAGUGAUUUUGUUUUUUCCCGAGCUGGCGAAAACGUCCUCACAGCUCCUGAAGCUGCAACUUGUUUUGGUUUCUUCUCAGUCCUGUGUGUGGUUACAACAUCAAAGUUUUUCUCCCUUACCCUUCCAAAAAAAUCUAUCCUUUUAAUCUUCCCCCCGCGCUGUCUCCGCCAGGCCUUCUCGCUGUGCGGUGAGUGGAUAGCUGGGCGCGCAGUGUGGCAGUGGCGGCGAAGAUUGGCGCUAUCAGGAGGAGCAAAAGGGAAGGAUCUGCUGCUGGGGGCUCCCUGGGUGACCCUUUGCUAGGCGAAAAGAACCCGUCGAGAGAGAAGCGCUUGGCAGGAGCUCUCUGCGGGACAUAAGCUCCCUGGCUGCUCGGGAUCCCUACGUCCGCUGCUGCGGAAGGAACACAGGGGAGGACGCAAGCGGUUGCUUACUGGAGCCUGGAGCUGAAUUGUUUAGGAUCCAUUAGAUGGAGACCAUGACUCUAAAAAUAACUGAAACUUCAUAAUGGUGACCAAUUAAACAGAUAUCGUGACCCUCAAUA
Molecule: long non-coding RNA, 924 nt
Organism: Macaca mulatta (Rhesus monkey)
Lineage: Eukaryota; Metazoa; Chordata; Mammalia; Primates; Cercopithecidae
Source: RefSeq, a predicted model, not a curated record